GUGUCAGCAGCCGCGGUAAUACGUAGGUGGCAAGCGUUGUCCGGAUUUACUGGGCGUAAAGGAUGUGUAGGCGGAUAUUUAAGUGAGAUGUGAAAUCCCCGGGCUUAACUUGGGGGCUGCAUUUCAAACUGGAUGUCUGGAGUGCAGGAGAGGAAAGCAGAAUUCCUAGUGUAGCGGUGAAAUGCGUAUGGAUUAGGAGAAAAACCAGGGGCGAAGGCGGCUUUCUGGACUGUAACUGACGCUG
Molecule: ribosomal RNA, 244 nt
Filed under: uncultured bacterium
Lineage: Bacteria
Description: partial 16S rRNA
Rfam family: Bacterial small subunit ribosomal RNA
Source: RNAcentral